GUGCUCGCUUGGGCAGCACAUAUACUAAAA
RNAcentral lists this small nuclear RNA (30 nucleotides) under Cervus elaphus hippelaphus. Lineage: Eukaryota; Metazoa; Chordata; Mammalia; Artiodactyla; Cervidae. The record is from RNAcentral.